GAUGAACGCUGGCGGCGUGCCUAAUACAUGCAAGUCGAGCGAACGGACGAGAAGCUUGCUUCUCUGAUGUUAGCGGCGGACGGGUGAGUAACACGUGGAUAACCUACCUAUAAGACUGGGAUAACUUCGGGAAACCGGAGCUAAUACCGGAUAAUAUUUUGAACCGCAUGGUUCAAAAGUGAAAGACGGUCUUGCUGUCACUUAUAGAUGGAUCCGCGCUGCAUUAGUUAGUUGGUAAGGUAACGGCUUACCAAGGCAACGAUGCAUAGCCGACCUGAGAGGGUGAUCGGCCACACUGGAACUGAGACACGGUCCAGACUCCUACGGGAAGCAGCAGUAGGGAAUCUUCCGCAGUGGGCGAGAGCCUGACGGAGCAACGCCGCGUGAGUGAUGAAGGUCUUCGGAUCGUAAAGCUCUGUUAUUAGGGAAGAACAUAUGUGUAAGUAACUGUGCACAUCUUGACGGUACCUAAUCAGAAAGCCACGGCUAACUACGUG
This 497-nucleotide ribosomal RNA is filed under the name uncultured bacterium. Its description in RNAcentral is "partial 16S ribosomal RNA". It matches the Rfam family "Bacterial small subunit ribosomal RNA", at positions 28 to 507 of the family's 1533-position model. The record is from RNAcentral.